RNAcentral lists this transfer RNA (72 nucleotides) under Hariotina sp. MMOGRB0030F. RNAcentral describes it as "tRNA-Val". It matches the Rfam family "tRNA". From Rfam's summary of the family: Transfer RNA (tRNA) molecules are approximately 80 nucleotides in length. Their secondary structure includes four short double-helical elements and three loops (D, anti-codon, and T loops). The record is from RNAcentral. Lineage: Eukaryota; Viridiplantae; Chlorophyta; Chlorophyceae; Sphaeropleales; Scenedesmaceae.
GGGUGCAUAGCUCAAUGGUAGAGCAUUUGUCUUACAAACAAAAAGUUGAAAGUUCAAGUCCUUCUGUGCCCA